AUUCUCAAAAAAUGUACAUUAGUCGCGUAUUGCGAUGCGUAUUGUUCCUGGUCUAUGGGGAGGUCCCUACGUUUUCGCGAGACGACUCACCGCCAUCUGAUUGCAUAUUCAAAUUCUCCGUGUUAUAACGAAAAUUUGCAUACUACUUAGAAAGUGGCGACGGACUCGUAAGUAUUUUUUAUUAUAUUUUUUUAAUUGAUAUUUGGUAUUUUGAUAGUGGAUGGUUUUUCUGAAAUCGUGCGCCAUCUGUUGGUUUAUGACUGUUUUGUAAUUUUUUUUGAUUUUAGACUAGUUUGGGAACCUUGUAUACGAUUAUCAAAUAUUGCUAGCGGAACAUACAUUGUUAAAUUAAUUGUUUUUUUCUGAUAUUUACUUUACACCAUUGCCCAUUGGGCAUUGAUAAAAAAUAAACACGAACGUCAUGAACUAUGAACAUCGAAAGUUUAAUAUCAAAUAUCAAUGCUAAUCAAAACAAGUCACGUUCGUCGCCCGUAGGUCGACAGUCGACACUUCGACAGCACUCGGCAUUGCACUCAUGAUUCAUAGACGAUAGACCGUGCUCUUAAAAGAUAAGAACGAUAUCUUCUAAAACAGGCAGUGGUCAACAGAUUGUAUUAUCAGUGUUGAAAGGGGUAGUUCAGCAGUUGUUCGAAAAACGAUAGGUUAGGUUCGAACAACUACCCCGCAUCCGUUAUAAAGAACACUCAUUAUUUCGAAAAUUAAAAAAAGUAUUUCCAAGUACCAACAGAUUUUAUUGAAUAAUGUAAGACACUUAAAAAAAAUAAACGCAAACAACAAAUUAUCUUGAACUAAUUGCGUAUGGUAGAGUUUUGUUUUGAUGUAUAUUAUUUAUCCAAAACAAGAGGGCAGUAUUCUAAAUGAGAACAAACAAGGGAGUAAUAUACAAUUUUCAAGGGCAUAAGCAGGGCCGGAUUUAGGGGAGGGCUGAGUGGGCUGCAGCCCAGGGGCCCCCACAAAUUCGGGGCCCCCACAAUUUUAUGAUAUUUAAAUUAGAAUACAGAAAAAAUAUUUUAUUUAUAUUUACACAUAUUUAAUUAAAUAAUAUUGAACUUUUUUUGGACA
Aphis gossypii (cotton aphid) is the source of this 1083-nucleotide long non-coding RNA. RefSeq lists it as uncharacterized. NCBI's taxonomy places the organism in Eukaryota, Metazoa, Arthropoda, Insecta, Hemiptera, Aphididae. The record is from RefSeq and is a predicted model, not a curated record. The transcript is spliced from 2 exons.